This 685-nucleotide ribosomal RNA is filed under the name uncultured Vibrionaceae bacterium. Its description in RNAcentral is "bacterial SSU rRNA". It matches the Rfam family "Bacterial small subunit ribosomal RNA", at positions 1 to 671 of the family's 1533-position model. Lineage: Bacteria; Pseudomonadati; Pseudomonadota; Gammaproteobacteria; Vibrionales; Vibrionaceae. The record is from RNAcentral.
UAGAGUUUGAUCCUGGCUCAGAUUGAACGCUGGCGGCAGGCCUAACACAUGCAAGUCGAGCGGAAACGACACUAACAAUCCUUCGGGAGCGUUAAUGGGCGUCGAGCGGCGGACGGGUGAGUAAUGCCUAGGAAAUUGCCUUGAUGUGGGGGAUAACCAUUGGAAACGAUGGCUAAUACCGCAUAAUGCCUACGGGCCAAAGAGGGGGACCUUCGGGCCUCUCGCGUCAAGAUAUGCCUAGGUGGGAUUAGCUAGUUGGUGAGGUAAUGGCUCACCAAGGCGACGAUCCCUAGCUGGUCUGAGAGGAUGAUCAGCCACACUGGAACUGAGACACGGUCCAGACUCCUACGGGGGGCAGCAGUGGGGAAUAUUGCACAAUGGGCGAAAGCCUGAUGCAGCCAUGCCGCGUGUAUGAAGAAGGCCUUCGGGUUGUAAAGUACUUUCAGUUGUGAGGAAGGGGGUAGCGUUAAUAGCGCUAUCUCUUGACGUUAGCAACAGAAGAAGCACCGGCUAACUCCGUGCCAGCAGCCGCGGUAAUACGGAGGGUGCGAGCGUUAAUCGGAAUUACUGGGCGUAAAGCGCAUGCAGGUGGUUCAUUAAGUCAGAUGUGAAAGCCCGGGGCUCAACCUCGGAACUGCAUUUGAAACUGGUGAACUAGAGUACUGUAGAGGGGGGUUGAAUUUCA